GCUAGAAUUAAGGGUUUUGAUACUUCUUGAUGUAUAUAUAUAUUGUAACUCUCUUAGUGAAAGGGGGACAGAAAACAUUUCAGAAUUUCUCUUGUAUUAUCUUGUCAUGGUAUCAGAGCCAAAAUUCUGAAAUCAA
Molecule: long non-coding RNA, 136 nt
Organism: Populus euphratica (Euphrates poplar)
Lineage: Eukaryota; Viridiplantae; Streptophyta; Magnoliopsida; Malpighiales; Salicaceae
Exons: 2
Source: RefSeq, a predicted model, not a curated record